Molecule: ribosomal RNA, 364 nt
Filed under: uncultured Mycosphaerellaceae
Lineage: Eukaryota; Fungi; Ascomycota; Dothideomycetes; Mycosphaerellales; Mycosphaerellaceae
Description: SSU rRNA
Rfam family: Eukaryotic small subunit ribosomal RNA
Source: RNAcentral
UUGUAGUCAUAUGCUUGUCUCAAAGAUUAAGCCAUGCAUGUCUAAGUAUAAGCAACUAUACGGUGAAACUGCGAAUGGCUCAUUAAAUCAGUUAUCGUUUAUUUGAUAGUACCUUACUACUUGGAUAACCGUGGUAAUUCUAGAGCUAAUACAUGCUAAAAACCCCCACUUCGGAAGGGGUGUAUUUAUUAGAUAAAAAACCAACGCCCUUCGGGGCUCCUUGGUGAUUCAUAAUAACUAAACGAAUCGCAUGGCCUUGCGCCGGCGAUGGUUCAUUCAAAUUUCUGCCCUAUCAACUUUCGAUGGUAGGAUAGUGGCCUACCAUGGUAUCAACGGGUAACGGGGAAUGGGGCGGGGGCGGCGG